AAAUUGAAGAGUUUGAUCAUGGCUCAGAUUGAACGCUGGCGGCAGGCCUAACACAUGCAAGUCGAGCGGUAGCACAGAGAGCUUGCUCUCGGGUGACGAGCGGCGGACGGGUGAGUAAUGUCUGGGAAACUGCCUGAUGGAGGGGGAUAACUACUGGAAACGGUAGCUAAUACCGCAUAAUGUCGCAAGACCAAAGUGGGGGACCUUCGGGCCUCAUGCCAUCAGAUGUGCCCAGAUGGGAUUAGCUAGUAGGUGGGGUAACGGCUCACCUAGGCGACGAUCCCUAGCUGGUCUGAGAGGAUGACCAGCCACACUGGAACUGAGACACGGUCCAGACUCCUACGGGAGGCAGCAGUGGGGAAUAUUGCACAAUGGGCGCAAGCCUGAUGCAGCCAUGCCGCGUGUGUGAAGAAGGCCUUCGGGUUGUAAAGCACUUUCAGCGGGGAGGAAGGCGGUGAGGUUAAUAACCUCAUCGAUUGACGUUACCCGCAGAAGAAGCACCGGCUAACUCCGUGCCAGCAGCCGCGGUAAUACGGAGGGUGCAAGCGUUAAUCGGAAUUACUGGGCGUAAAGCGCACGCAGGCGGUCUGUCAAGUCGGAUGUGAAAUCCCCGGGCUCAACCUGGGAACUGCAUUCGAAACUGGCAGGCUAGAGUCUUGUAGAGGGGGGUAGAAUUCCAGGUGUAGCGGUGAAAUGCGUAGAGAUCUGGAGGAAUACCGGUGGCGAAGGCGGCCCCCUGGACAAAGACUGACGCUCAGGUGCGAAAGCGUGGGGAGCAAACAGGAUUAGAUACCCUGGUAGUCCACGCCGUAAACGAUGUCGAUUUGGAGGUUGUGCCCUUGAGGCGUGGCUUCCGGAGCUAACGCGUUAAAUCGACCGCCUGGGGAGUACGGCCGCAAGGUUAAAACUCAAAUGAAUUGACGGGGGCCCGCACAAGCGGUGGAGCAUGUGGUUUAAUUCGAUGCAACGCGAAGAACCUUACCUGGUCUUGACAUCCACAGAACUUUCCAGAGAUGGAUUGGUGCCUUCGGGAACUGUGAGACAGGUGCUGCAUGGCUGUCGUCAGCUCGUGUUGUGAAAUGUUGGGUUAAGUCCCGCAACGAGCGCAACCCUUAUCCUUUGUUGCCAGCGGUCCGGCCGGGAACUCAAAGGAGACUGCCAGUGAUAAACUGGAGGAAGGUGGGGAUGACGUCAAGUCAUCAUGGCCCUUACGACCAGGGCUACACACGUGCUACAAUGGCAUAUACAAAGAGAAGCGACCUCGCGAGAGCAAGCGGACCUCAUAAAGUAUGUCGUAGUCCGGAUUGGAGUCUGCAACUCGACUCCAUGAAGUCGGAAUCGCUAGUAAUCGUAGAUCAGAAUGCUACGGUGAAUACGUUCCCGGGCCUUGUACACACCGCCCGUCACACCAUGGGAGUGGGUUGCAAAAGAAGUAGGUAGCUUAACCUUCGGGAGGGCGCUUACCACUUUGUGAUUCAUGACUGGGGUGAAGUCGUAACAAGGUAACCGUAGGGGAACCUGCGGUUGGAUCACCUCCUUACC
This 1542-nucleotide ribosomal RNA is filed under the name Klebsiella pneumoniae 30660/NJST258_1. Its description in RNAcentral is "bacterial SSU rRNA". It matches the Rfam family "Bacterial small subunit ribosomal RNA". RNAcentral also lists the same sequence under 1 other name. Lineage: Bacteria; Pseudomonadati; Pseudomonadota; Gammaproteobacteria; Enterobacterales; Enterobacteriaceae. The record is from RNAcentral.